Molecule: ribosomal RNA, 435 nt
Filed under: uncultured Lachnospiraceae bacterium
Lineage: Bacteria; Bacillati; Bacillota; Clostridia; Lachnospirales; Lachnospiraceae
Description: partial 16S ribosomal RNA
Rfam family: Bacterial small subunit ribosomal RNA
Source: RNAcentral
ACGGAAGGCAGCAGUGGGGGAUAUUGCACAAUGGGGGGAACCCUGAUGCAGCGACGCCGCGUGGGUGAAGAAGUAUUUCGGUAUGUAAAGCCCUAUCAGCAGGGAAGAAGAAGGACGGUACCUGCAGAAGAAGCCCCGGCUAACUACGUGCCAGCAGCCGCGGUAAUACGUAGGGGGCGAGCGUUAUCCGGAUUUACUGGGUGUAAAGGGAGCGUAGACGGUAGUGCAAGUCUGAGGUGAAAAUACGGGGCUUAACCCCGUAACUGCCUUGGAAACUGUAUAACUUGAGUACCGGAGGGGCAGGCGGAAUUCCUGGUGUAGCGGUGAAAUGCGUAGAUAUCAGGAAGAACACCGGUGGCGAAGGCGGCCUGCUGGACGGUAACUGACGUUGAGGCUCGAAAGCGUGGGGAGCAAACAGGAUUAGAUACCCUGGUA